RNAcentral lists this ribosomal RNA (520 nucleotides) under uncultured Glomus. RNAcentral's name for it is "SSU rRNA". It matches the Rfam family "Eukaryotic small subunit ribosomal RNA", at positions 569 to 1087 of the family's 1831-position model. Lineage: Eukaryota; Fungi; Glomeromycota; Glomeromycetes; Glomerales; Glomeraceae. The record is from RNAcentral.
AGCAGCCGCGGUAAUUCCAGCUCCAAUAGCGUAUAUUAAAGUUGUUGCAGUUAAAAAGCUCGUAGUUGAAUUUCGGGGUUAGCAGGUUGGUCGUGCCACUGGUAUGUACUGGUCUUGCUGAUUCCUCCCUCUUGAUGAGCCGUAAUGCCAUUAAUUUGGUGUUGCGGGGAAUCAGGACUGUUACUUUGAAAAAAUUAGAGUGUUUAAAGCAGGCAAGCGCUUGAAUACAUUAGCAUGGAAUAAUGAAAUAGGACGUUCGAUCCUAUUUUGUUGGUUUCUAGGAUUGACGUAAUGAUUAAUAGGGAUAGUUGGGGGCAUUAGUAUUCAAUUGUCAGAGGUGAAAUUCUUGGAUUUAUUGAAGACUAACUACUGCGAAAGCAUUUGCCAAGGAUGUUUUCAUUAAUCAAGAACGAAAGUUAGGGGAUCGAAGACGAUCAAAUACCGUCGUAGUCUUAACCAUAAACUAUGCCGACUAGGGAUCGGAUGAUGUUAAUUUUUUAAUGUACUCAUUCGGCGUACC